GUUAAGAAUCACGUUACCUGAAGAGACUAGUUAGUAUUUUUGCAAUAACUUAAAUAUUGUACUAAGUAAUAUUUGGUGGGUUUUAUUAUUGAUUUACCUGGGGGACCAAGGCACCCCAUUUAUAAAUUGUCUUGGUGGUGGCAGCGUUAAAAUAGUAAUAGUUAUAUUAUGUUUAAGUGUGGGUGGUUUUAAAAGGGGGAUUUUGU
This is a non-coding RNA of Pelobates cultripes (western spadefoot toad), 206 nucleotides long. The record is from the annotation of a GenBank genome assembly. Lineage: Eukaryota; Metazoa; Chordata; Amphibia; Anura; Pelobatidae.